Molecule: transfer RNA, 75 nt
Filed under: Acidobacteriota bacterium
Lineage: Bacteria; Pseudomonadati; Acidobacteriota
Description: tRNA-Ile
Rfam family: tRNA
About the family: Transfer RNA (tRNA) molecules are approximately 80 nucleotides in length. Their secondary structure includes four short double-helical elements and three loops (D, anti-codon, and T loops). Further hydrogen bonds mediate the characteristic L-shaped molecular structure. tRNAs have two regions of fundamental functional importance: the anti-codon, which is responsible for specific mRNA codon recognition, and the 3' end, to which the tRNAs corresponding amino acid is attached (by aminoacyl-tRNA synthetases). tRNAs cope with the degeneracy of the genetic code in two manners: having more than one tRNA (with a specific anti-codon) for a particular amino acid; and 'wobble' base-pairing, i.e. permitting non-standard base-pairing at the 3rd anti-codon position.
Source: RNAcentral
CGCGGUGUAGCUUAAUGGGAAAGCGUUCGGCUGAUAACCGAGAGACUUCAGGUUCGAUUCCUGACUCCGCGACCA